RNAcentral lists this long non-coding RNA (322 nucleotides) under Mizuhopecten yessoensis (Yesso scallop). Its description in RNAcentral is "uncharacterized LOC110458070, transcript variant X1". Lineage: Eukaryota; Metazoa; Mollusca; Bivalvia; Pectinida; Pectinidae. The record is from RNAcentral.
AGGUUUUCCAAUCUGAUUUCCAGUGGUGAUUGUCCAACAGUUUUUAUGUGACGAAGUCAUAUACAACAUUGCUGUUGAAACUGGAGAGAGAUUGUUCUACGUUAGUUUUGGUAGAGAUAAAGAAACAGUUUCGCACGAAGAAGGCUUCUACUCUAUGAACUGUCACCACGAUUCAUUUCCUGGAUAAACAGACGUGUUUGUACCUAAGAGUGAGUUAAGGAGGACGAUAUAACAGCCAAAACAGUAAUAUUCCCGAUAUGAGUGGUCACAUUGUAAGUGAACAUCAAAUAGCACACACCAGACAAAAAGAAAAUAUGUGUGG